Molecule: ribosomal RNA, 471 nt
Filed under: uncultured bacterium
Lineage: Bacteria
Description: bacterial SSU rRNA
Rfam family: Bacterial small subunit ribosomal RNA
Source: RNAcentral
GACGAACGCUGGCGGCGUGCCUAACACAUGCAAGUCGAACGGAACUGUUUUGAAAGAUUUCUUCGGAAUGAAUUUGAUUUAGUUUAGUGGCGGACGGGUGAGUAACGCGUGAGUAACCUGCCUUCAAGAGGGGGAUAACAUUCUGAAAAGAAUGCUAAUACCGCAUGACAUAUCGGAAUCACAUGGUUUUGAUAUCAAAGAUUUUAUCGCUUGAAGAUGGACUCGCGUCCGAUUAGUUAGUUGGUGAGGUAACGGCUCACCAAGACCGCGAUCGGUAGCCGGACUGAGAGGUUGAACGGCCACAUUGGGACUGAGACACGGCCCAGACUCCUACGGGAGGCAGCAGUGGGGGAUAUUGCGCAAUGGGGGCAACCCUGACGCAGCAACGCCGCGUGAAGGAUGAAGGUUUUCGGAUUGUAAACUUCUUUUAUUAAGGACGAAACUUGACGGUACUUAAUGAAUAAGCUCCGG